GACGAACGCUGGCGGCGUGCCUAAUACAUGCAAGUUGAGCGAUGAAGAUUGGUGCUUGCACCAAUUUGAAGAGCAGCGAACGGGUGAGUAACGCGUGGGGAAUCUGCCUUUGAGCGGGGGACAACAUUUGGAAACGAAUGCUAAUACCGCAUAACAACUUUAAACAUAAGUUUUAAGUUUGAAAGAUGCAAUUGCAUCACUCAAAGAUGAUCCCGCGUUGUAUUAGCUAGUUGGUGAGGUAAAGGCUCACCAAGGCGAUGAUACAUAGCCGACCUGAGAGGGUGAUCGGCCACAUUGGGACUGAGACACGGCCCAAACUCCUACGGGAGGCAGCAGUAGGGAAUCUUGGGCAAUGGACGAAAGUCUGACCGAGCAACGCCGCGGGAGUGAAGAAGGUUUUCGGAUCGUAAAAAUCGGUUGGUAGAGAAGAACGUUGGUGGGAGUGGAAAGCUCAUCAAGUGACGGUAACUACCCAGAAAGGGACGGCUAACUACGUG
This 497-nucleotide ribosomal RNA is filed under the name uncultured bacterium. RNAcentral describes it as "partial 16S ribosomal RNA". It matches the Rfam family "Bacterial small subunit ribosomal RNA", at positions 28 to 507 of the family's 1533-position model. The record is from RNAcentral.